GAUGAACGCCGGCGGCGUGCCUAAUACAUGCAAGUCGAGCGAACAGACGAGGAGCUUGCUCCUCUGACGUUAGCGGCGGACGGGUGAGUAACACGUGGAUAACCUACCUAUAAGACUGGGAUAACUUCGGGAAACCGGAGCUAAUACCGGAUAAUAUAUUGAACCGCAUGGUUCAAUAGUGAAAGACGGUUUUGCUGUCACUUAUAGAUGGAUCCGCGCCGCAUUAGCUAGUUGGUAAGGUAACGGCUUACCAAGGCAACGAUGCGUAGCCGACCUGAGAGGGUGAUCGGCCACACUGGAACUGAGACACGGUCCAGACUCCUACGGGAGGCAGCAGUAGGGAAUCUUCCGCAAUGGGCGAAAGCCUGACGGAGCAACGUCGCGUGAGUGAUGAAGGUCUUCGGAUCGUAAAACUCUGUUAUUAGGGAAGAACAAAUGUGUAAGUAACUAUGCACGUCUUGACGGUACCUAAUCAGAAAGCCACGGCUAACUACGUG
RNAcentral lists this ribosomal RNA (497 nucleotides) under uncultured bacterium. RNAcentral's name for it is "partial 16S ribosomal RNA". It matches the Rfam family "Bacterial small subunit ribosomal RNA", at positions 28 to 507 of the family's 1533-position model. The record is from RNAcentral.